This 371-nucleotide ribosomal RNA is filed under the name Thraustochytriidae sp. RNAcentral's name for it is "Thraustochytriaceae sp. partial small subunit ribosomal RNA". It matches the Rfam family "Eukaryotic small subunit ribosomal RNA", at positions 582 to 975 of the family's 1831-position model. Lineage: Eukaryota; Bigyra; Thraustochytrida; Thraustochytriidae. The record is from RNAcentral.
AUUCCAGCUCCAAUAGCGAAUACUAAUUCUGCUGCAGUUAAAAAGCUCGUAGUUGAACUUCUGGUAGGACAGAUCCGGCCUUUGGAUGAAUGUCCAUUGUAUGCUGUGUGUCUUGUCUGGCCAUCCUUUAUGUCUUUUAGGCGUAAUCUUUCACUGUAAAAAAAUUAGGGUGUUUCAAGCAAAAGUUAUUUGGAAUAUAUUAGUAUGGGAUGAUAAGAUAGGCUCUUGAGUGCUACUUUGUUGGCUUAUACACUUAGAGAAUGAUUAACAGGGACAGUCAGGGGCACUCGUAUUCCGCCGAGAGAGGUGAAAUUCUCAGACCAGCGGAAGACGAACCACUGCGAAAGCAUUUGCCAGGGAUGUUUUCAUCG